GUUAAGCGACUAAGCGUACACGGUGGAUGCCCUGGCAGUCAGAGGCGAUGAAGGACGUGCUAAUCUGCGAUAAGCGUCGGUAAGGUGAUAUGAACCGUUAUAACCGGCGAUUUCCGAAUGGGGAAACCCAGUGUGAUUCGUCACACUAUCAUUAACUGAAUCCAUAGGUUAAUGAGGCGAACCGGGGGAACUGAAACAUCUAAGUACCCCGAGGAAAAGAAAUCAACCGAGAUUCCCCCAGUAGCGGCGAGCGAACGGGGAGCAGCCCAGAGCCUGAAUCAGUGUGUGUGUUA
RNAcentral lists this ribosomal RNA (293 nucleotides) under Escherichia coli. RNAcentral describes it as "partial 23S ribosomal RNA". It matches the Rfam family "Bacterial large subunit ribosomal RNA", at positions 1 to 291 of the family's 2925-position model. The record is from RNAcentral. Lineage: Bacteria; Pseudomonadati; Pseudomonadota; Gammaproteobacteria; Enterobacterales; Enterobacteriaceae.